RNAcentral lists this ribosomal RNA (723 nucleotides) under Pseudescherichia vulneris (CDC Enteric Group 1). Its description in RNAcentral is "bacterial SSU rRNA". It matches the Rfam family "Bacterial small subunit ribosomal RNA", at positions 797 to 1521 of the family's 1533-position model. The record is from RNAcentral. Lineage: Bacteria; Pseudomonadati; Pseudomonadota; Gammaproteobacteria; Enterobacterales; Enterobacteriaceae.
UGGGACGUUACGAUGUCGACUUGGAGGUUGUGCCCUUGAGGCGUGGCUUCCGGAGCUAACGCGUUAAGUCGACCGCCUGGGGAGUACGGCCGCAAGGUUAAAACUCAAAUGAAUUGACGGGGGCCCGCACAAGCGGUGGAGCAUGUGGUUUAAUUCGAUGCAACGCGAAGAACCUUACCUACUCUUGACAUCCAGAGAACUUAGCAGAGAUGCUUUGGUGCCUUCGGGAACUCUGAGACAGGUGCUGCAUGGCUGUCGUCAGCUCGUGUUGUGAAAUGUUGGGUUAAGUCCCGCAACGAGCGCAACCCUUAUCCUUUGUUGCCAGCGGUUAGGCCGGGAACUCAAAGGAGACUGCCAGUGAUAAACUGGAGGAAGGUGGGGAUGACGUCAAGUCAUCAUGGCCCUUACGAGUAGGGCUACACACGUGCUACAAUGGCGCAUACAAAGAGAAGCGAACUCGCGAGAGCAAGCGGACCUCAUAAAGUGCGUCGUAGUCCGGAUCGGAGUCUGCAACUCGACUCCGUGAAGUCGGAAUCGCUAGUAAUCGUGGAUCAGAAUGCCACGGUGAAUACGUUCCCGGGCCUUGUACACACCGCCCGUCACACCAUGGGAGUGGGUUGCAAAAGAAGUAGGUAGCUUAACCUUCGGGAGGGCGCUUACCACUUUGUGAUUCAUGACUGGGGUGAAGUCGUAACAAGGUAACCGUAGGGGAACCUGCGGUGU